Molecule: long non-coding RNA, 503 nt
Filed under: Gallus gallus (chicken)
Lineage: Eukaryota; Metazoa; Chordata; Aves; Galliformes; Phasianidae
Source: RNAcentral
UGACAACAGCACCAUACCACAGCCAAGAGAAGAUUAUCUUCAGCCAGAAUCCUCCAAUAACGGCACGUCUGGGCUGCCUGCAGAAGGUCCCUGGGUUCCAGGAAUGACAGCACGUACAGUGCCAGCUGUAAGAAAAGGAAGGGAGGUUUCUAAAUUGCUUUUGAAAGGAAAAGUGAAGUAACUCCAAGCAUUAUCACACAUCAGAGGCUGAAAUACAGAAAAUUGAAACAAUGAAUUAUUAAAUGAUCUCAGAAACUUAACAGAGCUACAGCUUGUUCCAGUGGGCACAUGAGAAGUACAGCAAUCAUCUUAAAUAACUAAAUCCAUACAGAUCACAUCAAAAAUGUAUAUUAUUUGCAAGAGACUAGAUGUCAGCUGAAAUCACUGGCUAUUAUGCUUUUUUAAAAUGUCAUCCGUAUUACUUUGAACCGUUGCCAGAUGUACUAAAAUAAUUAUGCCUGUGAUAUUUUAUCUAAUAAAAGUUGCUCUGAGAGUUUAACCAG